CCUCAGUAACGGCGAGUGAAGCGGCAACAGCUCAAAUUUGAAAUCUGGCGCCCCCGGGCGUCCGAGUUGUAAUUUGCAGAGGAUGCUUCGGUAUCGGCGCUGCUCCAGGUUCUUUGGAACAGGACGCCACAGAGGGUGAGAGCCCCGUCUCUGGGCAGCAGUCGAUACCAUGUGAAGCGCCUUCGACGAGUCGAGUUGUUUGGGAAUGCAGCUCAAAAUGGGAGGUAAAUUUCUUCCAAGGCUAAAUACAGGCCGGAGACCGAUAGCGCACAAGUAGAGUGAUCGAAAGAUGAAAAGUACUUUGGAAAGAGAGUCAAACAGCGCGUGAAAUUGUUGAAAGGGAAGCGCUUGCAGUCAGACUUGGCCGCCCGGUUCGGCGGGGUCUCGCACCCCGUCUACGCCGUGGCGAUCAGGCCAGCAUCGGUUCGGACGACUGGAUAAAGGCCGCGGGAACGUAGCUCUCUUCGGGGAGUGUUAUAGCCCGCGGCACAAUACGGCCAGUCCGGACCGAGGAACGCGCAUCUGCUCGGAUGCUGGCGUAAUGGCUGCAAGCGGCCCGUCUUGAAACACGGACCAAGGAGUCUAACAUCUGUGCGAGUGUUUGGGUGUCAAGCCCUUGCGCGUAAUGAAAGUGAACGGAGGUGGGAGCCCUCGGGCGCACCAUCGACCGAUCCUGAUGUCUUCGGAAGGAUUUGAGUAAGAGCACAGCUGUUGGGACCCGAAAGAUGGUGAACUAUGCCUAAGCAGGGUGAAGCCAGAGGAAACUCUGGUGGAGGCUCGCAGCGGUUCUGACGUGCAAAUCGAUCGUCAAAUUUGGGUAUAGGGGCGAAAGAC
This 834-nucleotide ribosomal RNA is filed under the name Acrospermum leucocephalum. RNAcentral's name for it is "partial large subunit ribosomal RNA". It matches the Rfam family "Eukaryotic large subunit ribosomal RNA", at positions 78 to 931 of the family's 3401-position model. Lineage: Eukaryota; Fungi; Ascomycota; Dothideomycetes; Acrospermales; Acrospermaceae. The record is from RNAcentral.